Molecule: long non-coding RNA, 4014 nt
Organism: Heterocephalus glaber (naked mole-rat)
Lineage: Eukaryota; Metazoa; Chordata; Mammalia; Rodentia; Bathyergidae
Source: Ensembl
AAGAUACUCAUGUAAUGGUACAAGAUCUCAAUGAUAGAUAUAACUGUAUUUUAUACCUAAAAUAUACCAAUAAACUUAACCGGGGCGGGGGAAAAAAGAGUCUUGUUUAAGGAUUUGGCUAGUUAAGGACAGAGCUCGGAUCCAACCCAACCCUGCCCAACUCCAGAGUCUGCACCGUCCUUCCACCCCUCCCCUGCCGGAGCAGAAGGGCGUCCAAGUAAGAACAGGCUUUUCUCUAGAUGUGGCAAUUUCCUGUUUAUUCUAAGCUGCAGCCUGGCAGUAGAGAGCUCAAAAUGCCACAUAAUAAUUACAUCUGCUUCUGGUGUUUCAGACAAUUUUACGAAUGGCUCUCACUUCAGAGAUAUACUUUGCCAAGGUGCCUGCUUCACAGCUAGAAUGCCUGUGUCCUGUGGGGACAAAGUCAGAAGGAGUCUCAGUCCCCAAAAUAGUCUGGUAGUGGCUGGUGGCAAAGUGAGGUUAGAAUUUGAAAUUGGGGAUUUGGUUGCUGUUUUUUUUUCUCACUGGGCACCUAGAAAUUUCCUGGCAAGAGCUUAAGGCUUACACACAUCUGUCACCCCACUUUAUAGUGUGACUGAGUCACAUCAGGCUAAUUUUGAAUUCUUUUUUCCUUCACCUCUGACUAGAGGUUCAGGGAAAGAAUGGACCAUUCAUGAUCACAUCGAUUCAAAGCCGUGUCAACCUCUCUAUCUGGGCCUAUAGAACAAAAAUCAGACCGCAGUUUCCUGAUGCCCAUUUGGAUUUGCCAACUGCUUUUCAGCUACAGACUUUCUUCUUCCUGAUUAGGACAGAGAUGCUUCUGGGGAGGGGAUGGGAGAGAGGAAGAAAGCAGUAAUACAUCUUACCAAGGCAACUUCCAACCCUAGGAUCAUGUGAUUCCACUAGCAUAUACUUCCAUAGGCACAGAUCUUACUCAAUACUGGUCUCCCUGCAUUAGAAAAUCCAAAUCCUAAAAAAAAAAAAAAAAAUCCAAAUCCUUUGUGUCACAGCUAUUAUUCUAUAAAACUAAUGUUUGCAUGCAAACAUAUAUACUAUACAUAUAUAUGCUUAACAUAUAUACAUGUUAGCUCACAUUGCUUAUCCACUUACAUCUUAGGAAAAUCACACCACCAUACACCUGUGUUUUAGGUAUUUAAAAAUAUUAUCUUAUGUUUCACCAAGAGUAAGUUCUAGAUUUAUGGAUGCUACUGUUAAACUUCAACAAGCAAACAGCUGUACCAACCUGCUAUAGCUCAUUUCAAGGCUACUAGCACUUACACUAAUUGAUUAAAAACGUAACAAGUAAUGUAUUGUAAAACUAUUGCAUGAUGUUUUUAAAGUAAUAGAAGAUCAAUGUUUAUUUUUUUCUUUUCCUAGACUAUAUAUAUAUAUAUAUAUAUAUAUAUAUUUUUUUUUUUUGGUACCGGGGAUCAAACUCGGGUCCUUGCGCUUACAAGACAGGAGGCAGAACCACUGACUCAGGUCCUUGUGCUUACAAGACAGGAGGUGGAACCACUGAGCUAAAUCCCCGGCACUAGACUAUAUUUUUAAAAGCCACACAUGUGGCUUUAAUGCUCUUUGCAGAUAAAGCUGGAUGACGGUAUAGCAAAAUGGAACUAGGCUGCAUUCAAACACUCCACAUGCUCUUACACGCACAACUACAAUUCCUGGUGUGCUAGGCAUUUGACAUUUAAAUAUCUGAAUGAUUAAGCUCAAUGCUUUGAGAAACUACUGGAAGAUCUACUAGUAUUAUCUGAUGGAAGGUUUGCAACAAUUGAUUAUAAAAUUAUUUUGUUCAAUUUUAAGAUGAGUUUCCAGUUCUGACCUCAAUUAAAACUUACAGUGGGUACCCUUUCUUAACACUUUAAAUUGUCAUCUUUCUUUCGUUCGUUCAAUAAUUGUUUAUUGAGCAACUACUACAUAAUGAUUGGACUUGAAAAAGAUACAAAUUUAAUUCCAUUAAAAUUAUAAUCUUAUACAAUUCAAAUAAAAUUUUCAUAGAACAAGCUCUUUCAUGGAAUCUUUAUAAGCUAAUUUAAAAAUGUGACAAAAAAGCACUGGGUCAACUGCAAAGGAUCAUUUUAUGGAAAGAGACCAAAUUAAGAAGGCUCCACUUCUAAGAAACAAGACUUAUGAUACAGACAGUGUGUAUUGACACAGGAAUAAACAGCAGGCCAAUAGAUCACAAUGAAAAAUCAGAAACAGACUUAGGAAUAUAUAUAAAGUAAAAACAAUAUUCAGGCCACCAAGAAAAGACUGCACUAUUCAGUAAAUGGUACUGCAGCAAUCAUUUACCUAUAUGAAAAGAAUAAAAUAAGAUUCAUACCUCACAUCCUCUGCAGAAGCCAAUUUAAGAUGAAUCAAAUAGGAAAAGAAAAUCUAUAAGACAUGUAAAAAUAUGAGAAUAUCUGUGUUUCAGAACUUCUUAAAUAACACAAUAGUAAAAUUCAUUUAAAAAUCAUCAAUUGGUUACACUAAAAUUGGGCUGAAAUUAAACAUUUCUGAAUAAAAAAAGACUACAAACAGAACAAAACAAACCAUGGUUUGGGAUCAGACAGGUAUCUAAGGCAUUAAUAAAAACUGCAAGGCAAUAAGAAAACAAUUCAAAAUCAACAAAGGAAGGAGAAAAUCUAUAUCAGCAAGAAAUUUAUGAAAAGAUACUGAACUUCCAACACAGAAUAUUAAACAGCCACACACUAUUUCACAGCUAUAGGAAUGGAUGAAUUUAUAAAUCUGACAAUACAAAAUAUUGGUAAUAAUGCAGAGCAAUGAGAUCUUCAUAUAUUGCAUGUAAUAAUUGUACAAGGAUUUUGGAGAGCAUUUUUCCAAUAUCUAGUAAAACCAGUGAUCUACAAUUCCUCUACUAAGUGUAAACCUAGCAAAAUUCUGCCCCAUUAGUGUAAGAUUAUUCUUUACAGUUAUUUAUUAAAGCCAAAAAUAGAAAACAAAUGUACAUCAACAACCUGAUGAUUAAGCCAAUUGACUGAAAAAGUAACAAGUAAUACAUUUAUCCCUGAUGUAGAAUAAUUUGUGAAUACACUAGAGCAGUGAAAUGAAAGGACAGGAGGGAUGUCUUUCAAUUUGGGCAAUGAUCACAAACAUGACAUUAGAUGAAAAAAGCAACUCUAGUAAGGCGACAGAAAAGUAGCCUUAUGUUCUAAAUGUUCAUGAAGAUCGAGGGCAUGCAAAAACAGUAUUAUAUGUUAUGAAUCUGUGCGUAUGUAUUGAAAGUCUGAAAAAUCAAAUGGAAAUACUGUACCUCAAAUCCAUCAGUUACCUCUGAAUGAUGAACAUCGUAAGUCAGUCAUGUCUCCUAGAAAAGAGAACCCCAUACAGAGAUUGCAUGCUAACAAUUUUGGUGAUACGCAAAUUCAAGGUGCCAAAGGGGAAGAAAGACAAACUGAAGACAGGAAAGGAUGGGAUAGAAAAACAAGUCAGCAUGUUAACAGCACAGGCAGUACAAAGAACCAUCCUCGGAACAAGCGCUCCGAGGGCGGGGGAGGGGAGAUGGAUCUUUCACUUCCUCCGGUCUUCUAGCUGUCCUUGGUUUAACCUCAGGAAGCGAAUUCUCCCACGCUUCUCGGACCUGUCACCUCUGUGGCAGUUGCCAUGGAAGCCAUCUCCCAAGCCCCACAGGAGGACGCUUCAUUCGCAUCUUGAAACGAUAAAGGAGCUAGCGAGUUCUAGCGUUUGCCUGCUGGGCUGCGAGCAGUGGAACCUCUGCCCAGAGUGCCUUGGGGUGCCACUGGCAGCCUCGGCGGGACCAACAGGCCAGGCUUCAGGAGCCGGGCAAGGAAGAGAGGAUCUGAUUGGCUACAAAGUGACCCAUGUGAAGGGAGAUGUGAUUGGAAGUACGCAUGAGGAGAUCCAACUGCAUAAAUAUAUAGAGAACCCAGUGGAACUCUCUGAGCCCCCAAACGAUGGCAGAACCACUGCAUAGAAGAAGCUGGAGUCCCUGAAUGACUGUAUGAAGCAGAAACUCUACCCCAUGUGCUCUGUGUACACUCAGUGGUUGGG